GGUUACCCCCAGCUCGGUGUGAGGCAGGAGGAGGGUGGAAGGAUGACGAUGGGGCAAGGCAAGCAGGCUCUUCUGAUUAACUCACUUCUCAUUCACCUCUUGGCCUCAUCAGAAGCGAAGUUCUUCCACAUCAUCACCCUCUGGGAUCCUUUUUAUAGCCCAGCAACUGCUUGGGCUGUGAAUCCAGGGGGUCUGACUUUCCAGAGGAUGAGGAGGAAGCUGCUGUCCCCAGGAGAUGCUGACCCUCCUCACCCAGCCAGCAGAGACAUCCACAGGAGGUUUCACCUCCCAGAGGAUAAGGAGGAAGCUGCUGUCCCCAGGAGAUGCUGACCCUCCUCACCCAGCCAGCAGAGACAUCCACAGGAGGUUUCACCUCCCAGAGGAUGAGGAGGAAGCUGCUGUCCCCAGGAGAUGCUGACCCUCCUCACCCAGCCAGCAGAGACAUCCACAGGAGGUUUCACCUCCCAGAGGAUGAGGAGGAAGCUGCUGUCCCCAGGAACAUCCCAUCCCAUUGGAGAAGAACUACAGGCUCUGAGGCACCUCUUAGUAGCUCAAAUUAGCCUUCAGUGCCUCAGCCACCAGGGACAUUAAAGGUGACCUUGAGAC
Molecule: long non-coding RNA, 606 nt
Organism: Pogoniulus pusillus (Red-fronted tinkerbird)
Lineage: Eukaryota; Metazoa; Chordata; Aves; Piciformes; Lybiidae
Exons: 2
Source: RefSeq, a predicted model, not a curated record